RNAcentral lists this ribosomal RNA (253 nucleotides) under uncultured bacterium. RNAcentral describes it as "partial 16S ribosomal RNA". It matches the Rfam family "Bacterial small subunit ribosomal RNA", at positions 524 to 776 of the family's 1533-position model. The record is from RNAcentral.
UACAGAGGUCUCAAGCGUUGUUCGGAAUCACUGGGCGUAAAGGGUGCGUAGGCCGCACGGUAAGUCAGGUGUGAAAGCCCGGAGCUCAACUCCGGAAUUGCACCCGAUACUGCCGUGCUUGAGGACUGGAGAGGAGAUUGGAAUUCACAGUGGAGCAGUGAAAUGCGUAGAUAUUGUGAGGAACACUAGUGGCGAAGGCGAAUCUCUGGACAGUUCCUGACGCUGAGGCACGAAGGCCAGGGGAGCAAACGGG